GCCGGGCACAGUGGCGCAUGCCUGGAAUCCCAGCAGCUCAGGAGGCUGAGGCAGGGGGAUCGCAAGUUCAAGGCCAGCCUCAGCAUCUU
Molecule: small RNA, 89 nt
Filed under: Marmota monax (woodchuck)
Lineage: Eukaryota; Metazoa; Chordata; Mammalia; Rodentia; Sciuridae
Source: RNAcentral